GAUGAACGCUGGCGGCGUGCUUAACACAUGCAAGUCGAACGGUGAAGCAGGAGCUUGCUCCUGUGGAUCAGUGGCGAACGGGUGAGUAACACGUGAGUAACCUGCCCCAGACUCUGGGAUAAGCGUUGGAAACGACGUCUAAUACCGGAUACGAGACGAGAAGGCAUCUUCAUCGUCUGGAAAGAAUUUCGGUCUGGGAU
This 200-nucleotide ribosomal RNA is filed under the name uncultured bacterium. RNAcentral describes it as "partial 16S ribosomal RNA". It matches the Rfam family "Bacterial small subunit ribosomal RNA", at positions 28 to 226 of the family's 1533-position model. The record is from RNAcentral.